RNAcentral lists this ribosomal RNA (1412 nucleotides) under uncultured bacterium. RNAcentral's name for it is "16S ribosomal RNA". It matches the Rfam family "Bacterial small subunit ribosomal RNA". The record is from RNAcentral.
AACGAACGCUGGCGGCAUGCCUAACACAUGCAAGUCGAACGAAGAGCAGCUUGCUGCUCUUAGUGGCAAACGGGUGAGUAACGCGUGGGAAUCUACCUUUCGAUGGGGGAUAACCGGGGGAAACUUCGGCUAAUACCGCAUACGCUCAGAAAUGAGGAAAGAUUUAUCGUCGAAAGAUGAGCCCGCGUCAGAUUAGGUAGUUGGUGGGGUAAAGGCCUACCAAGCCUGUGAUCUGUAGCUGGUCUGAGAGGAUGAUCAGCCACACUGGGAUUGAGAUACGGCCCAGACUCCUACGGGAGGCAGCAGUGAGGAAUAUUGGACAAUGGGGGAAAUCCUGAUCCAGCAAUGCCGCGUGAAUGAAGAAGGCCUUUGGGUUGUAAAGUUCUUUCACUUAUGAAGAUGAUGACGGUAGUAAGAGAAGAAGGUCCGGCUAACUCUGUGCCAGCAGCCGCGGUAAGACAGAGGGACCUAGUGUUGUUCGGAAUGACUGGGCGUAAAGGGUGCGUAGGCGGUCGCUUAAGUAAGGUGUUAAAGCCCCAGGCUCAACCUGGGAAUCGCGCUUUAAACUGGGUGACUGGAGUGUGAGAGAGGAGAGUGGAAUUCCUAGUGUAGAGGUGAAAUUCGUAGAUAUUAGGAGGAAUACCAGAGGCGAAGGCGGCUCUCUGGCUCAUUACUGACGCUGAGGCACGAAAGCGUGGGGAGCGAAUAGGAUUAGAUACCCUAGUAGUCCACGCCCUAAACGAUGAGUACUAGAUGUUGGAUUUUUUUUCAGUGUCGCAGCUAACGCGUGAAGUACUCCGCCUGAGGACUACGGUCGCAAGAUUAAAACUUAAAGGAAUUGACGGGGGCCCGCACAAGCGGUGGAGCAUGUGGUUUAAUUCGACGAUCCGCGAAAAACCUUACCAGCUCUUGACAUGGGGAUUACGAGUUCCAGAGAUGGAAUUCAUCAGUUCGGCUGGGUCCUCACAGGUGCUGCAUGGCUGUCGUCAGCUCGUGUCGUGAGAUGUUGGGUUAAGUCCCGCAACGAGCGCAACCCUUAUCCUUACUUGCUAACAGGUUAUGCUGAGAACUUUAAGGAGACUGCCGGUGAUGAACCGGAGGAAGGCGAGGAUGACGUCAAGUCCUCAUGGCCCUUAUGGGCUGGGCUACACAUGUGCUACAAUGGUGGUUACAAAGGGAUGCAAUGGGGUGACCCGGAGCCAAUCCUUAAAAGCCAUCUCAGUUCGGAUUGUUCUCUGCAACUCGAGAACAUGAAGUUGGAAUCGCUAGUAAUCGUGGAUCAGCACGCCACGGUGAAUACGUUCACGGGCCUUGUACACACCGCCCGUCAAGCCAUGGGAGUUGGUUCUACCUGAAGCCGGUGCGCUAACCGUAAGGAGGCAGCCGUCCACGGUAGGGUCGAUGACUGGGGU